GACGAACGCUGGCGGCGUGCCUAAUACAUGCAAGUUGAGCGCUGAAGGUUGGUACUUGUACCAACUGGAUGAGCAGCGAACGGGUGAGUAACGCGUGGGGAAUCUGCCUUUGAGCGGGGGACAACAUUUGGAAACGAAUGCUAAUACCGCAUAAAAACUUUAAACACAAGUUUUAAGUUUGAAAGAUGCAAUUGCAUCACUCAAAGAUGAUCCCGCGUUGUAUUAGCUAGUUGGUGAGGUAAAGGCUCACCAAGGCGAUGAUACAUAGCCGACCUGAGAGGGUGAUCGGCCACAUUGGGACUGAGACACGGCCCAAACUCAUACGGGAGGCAGCAGUAGGGCAUCUUGGGCAAUGGACGAAAGUCUGACCGAGCAACGCCGCGUGAGUGAAGAAGGUUUUCGGAUCGUAAAACUCUGUUGGUAGAGAAGAACGUUGGUGAGAGUGGAAAGCUCAUCAAGUGACGGUAACUACUCAGAAAGGGACGGCUAACUACGUG
Molecule: ribosomal RNA, 497 nt
Filed under: uncultured bacterium
Lineage: Bacteria
Description: partial 16S ribosomal RNA
Rfam family: Bacterial small subunit ribosomal RNA
Source: RNAcentral